AAGUCCUCAAGAGAAGAACUUACUAUGCCUGAGUCAUGGGAGGCAUUCAAGCAAUUCCUGUACCUCGAUGAAUUAAAUAUUGAAGGCUGAGAGAAAGUGAGCGGGGAAAUAUGGGAGCUCGUAAGAGGGUUAAGUUUUCCAUCUUUCUGACCAGGCCCCAUGAUCCAGCUGUCACAGGACUUACAAGAAGGAAACAGCAUUUCAUUAAUGGUCCUCUGAUGCCACUGCACCAUUCCCUGCCAUGAAGAGGAACAAGUGGAAGAAAAAGAGGAAAGCAAACAAUGAGAACCAUGGAAAGAAGUCCCACCUCCCUGGAAUGUGGGCGACUAUUCAGUGUUGGAUAUUCAGUGUGAGGGCUUGAAUUGAGUGUUAUAAAUGUUAUGAACGUGGUUAGGACAUAGUAUAGUGUACUGUCAUGGGAAGUGCAGCUCUGUGAUAUGCACAAGGGCAAAUUUACAUUUUGAAAGCAAAAAUACUACUUUCAAAUUUCACCACUCAAACCAAAUUCAACAUUCAUUACUUCAAAGCUCUACUUAACAGAUUCAACCAGAAAACCUAUUCCACCUCCUCUCCUCCUUCCGAAGGAGCUCAAAUAGAAACUCAGUAUCCUUCUGUGUGGUCUGAGAGAGCCUAAGCUUGCUGGUUGCUAAGGUCUAUUUAAUAAAUUUUCCUAAGCUGUGUGGAUAAUGAGAUAAGAUAUUCAGGGGAAUUAAAAUGUUAAUUAUGUGUACAGGUUGGUAAAUACACUCUGUGAUUUGAACAGACUCAUUAUAUGAGCUUAAAUUAUUAUUACAACAGUGAAUGUCAACCAUUCAUGAUACAUUACCUUCAUCACAAAAUAUUGACAAC
This is a long non-coding RNA of Mesocricetus auratus (golden hamster), 849 nucleotides long. RefSeq lists it as uncharacterized. The record is from RefSeq and is a predicted model, not a curated record. The transcript has 3 exons. Lineage: Eukaryota; Metazoa; Chordata; Mammalia; Rodentia; Cricetidae.